RNAcentral lists this long non-coding RNA (4290 nucleotides) under Zea mays. RNAcentral describes it as "long non-coding RNA (ZMAY_LNC000215)". The record is from RNAcentral. Lineage: Eukaryota; Viridiplantae; Streptophyta; Magnoliopsida; Poales; Poaceae.
UUGCACUGGAGAGUAUCGAGAUUAUCGACACGUGGGCACUCCCCCUUUUUUGCGGACUCAAUGAUCUCCCUUGUGUGACGAUGCACAUCAAGUUUGCGCGAGAUACAGAUCCACAUCCUGACAUCAAAGCAUUCUUCAAUCCUCUUGUCAUUAUAGACAUAUUGUGCUAAGGUAGACUUCCCCAUUCCUCCCAAUCCAACAGAAUGGAGCAUACCACCAAAAACCUUCAGUUUUGAUGCACUAAAAUACAAGGCCUUUUCAUCUCCUACACCAGCAAGCACACUUGUAAUCAAUCCAAUUGGUGACAAACAACAAGCAAUCACCUUUUAACUGGUAAUAGAGCAAGUAGAUGAACAAGUCCUCGAGCUCAAUCCAUAGUGUACAAAUGUAGCUCAUCAUCCGCCAACAACGAAUCUCCAGAAACACUCGGACUGUAGCAGACACGUUUUGACUGUACGUAGCAGAGAAUUACGACCUAUUUUGACUGUAGCACACACAUUACUGGAACUGGUUCCAUGGUGAACUUCUCUGCUACACCAUCCACAAGCACAAGUGCAGGAAAAUGAACUAUCUUCUCUAUUGCAUUGCCUGGAGUAUUUAUACUAAUUGCCACAUGAAUGAUAUAGCAAUUGUGCACAUGAAAACAAAAGCCCUGGCCACAGUUAUUACUUCAUUCUGUCAGAGAAAUACAUAUUGGCAAUUGUGCACAACCAAGGAAUGAAUGAUAUAGCAACUGAAAUAGCGGAGCAAUACAAGCGGCAAAAACAGGGAACCGCGGGGACGGCAGCAUUAACGACGGAUUGGCUUCUGACUUGAGCCUCAACUCUGGAGCUUCAAGAGAAGAGGGGUGACGUCAAGGUGCCUGUUUAGAACAUGAAAUGUUUUAAAUAUUGAGAAACUCAUCAAUUGUGCUGGAAAAAAUGAAUUAGUAGAACCUGUACCUUCUCAUUUAUUUCAAAGUGGCAACUCUAAGGAAGCCAGAUCGAUUUUGGUGGAAAGCUCUUCCAACGAACGUGCGAAAUCUUUGGCCAGCUUUCUCCAUCAGGUUCUUGGCAAUUCUUCAUCAAGACGGGGCAAUUCAAUAUAGUUAUGCGCUGGAGGGAGGACGGCAGAUCUGGUAAAGAUGCUAUGUUGGGGCAUUGUUCUAUAGAAAGACUCUCCAGACUUGAGACAGAUUUUAGAUUUCUAGGCAGGGACUCUGUUUCGCAACAUGAAAAGUGCAGGUGCUUGACGGAUGAGAGAUUUGCAGGUUCUUCAAAUGAAACUGACGGCUCCUUGCAAUCUAAAAGAGUAAGAUUUGGUGGGGCUGUAAACCCUUCAGCCAUUAGCAUGUGGUUGAGCAAUACAGAGCUACUAACCCUGAGCGAUUCCUGGACACGAAACUGUGAGAUGCACUUGGCAGUGAGGUUUGCAACAUCUACUAAACUUAGGCGCUUAAGGUGCAGGGAAGACAAGCCUUCAACAAAGCAAAGAUCAGGGAGACCAUUUAGACAUAAUGAUUCAAGGGAGGUCAGGUGGCCAAUCGAUAAGGAUGGGGAGCAUCUGCAGACAUCAAUGGAAAGAUGUUUCAGAUGUGGCAAGCCAUUAAUGAACGAAUCAGCUGCAAGAAUGCAGCCAAGGAUGCUGAGAUUGCUAGCAAGGUUCAACGGCAUUAGUUCUGCUCCCCGUGCUAGCUCUAAAGAAGGACAAUCCCAACAGUUAAAACAGGAAAGAGAUGGAGCAGCACGUAAGCCCCCCAGUGAUUUGAGACACAAACAACCUAUUACAACCAACCUGUCAAGCUUCGUCAAAUGCUCAAACACCUUUUCUGAUGGAAGUGUAGUUAAUGCCAUAUUAUAUUUCAAUUUUAAAUUCCUCAGUGAAGUGAGGCCACCAAGGCAAAUAGCUAAAGCUUCAUCUGUAAUACUGCAUGAAGAAAGAGAAAGUUCACAGAGUCCUGACGGUAGAACCAAUGGCAUCUCCAUGGUCCUUCCAUAAAUGAAUCUUAUCCUCUGCUCAUGGCAAAAGAGCCAUGCCUUGAUGAUGUUUUCUUUCAUCCAUACUUUAUCUUCUCUUUCCUCCAGACCACUUUCAAUGAUUUGAAGAUGCUUUGAUAUAUCAUCAUCCAUCAUCAAUGUCAUCAACUGCUUCAGAGAUGAAUAGUCUUUCGACAGUAUACUCCUAACUUUUUUUCCUGAAUCCACCUCCCACAUCAAUGUAAGUUUAGAUGCCAGGUCGUCUGCCUUGAUUAUUAUAUUUUCCCUCAAGUCAUGCUGUCCUAGCUCAUUGUUGGUGAUAAACAUAAGCAGUGGGCACCAAUCAAUUGAUAAAUCUGUAAGGCCUGCUGGAAGAUUAGAUAGUUCCUUCAAAUUUGGAACAAAGUUUAUACGCAACCUAGAGCAAUUCCGAAGGAGCUCUGUAUCUGGUGGUAGGCCUUCUAGCAAACUGCAAUUACUAAGCUCAAAACUUUCCAAAUUCUCAAAAUAGGAUCGCUCUAGUAACCACCCAGGAUAUGUAUCAGAUCUGUAACCUUUGAUUCUGAGCUUACUCAGUUGGGGUGGCGGUCUUAGACCUUCUAGAAUAUCCAUUGCAUCCAUGCCAUUCUCGGAACUCCACUCAAAUGCCAACUCUUUAAGGCGACUUUUCAGAUAUAGCUUCGACUCUACGGCUUCAUCCUUUCCAAUGACAUUCUCAAGAUUUUUCACUUUUAAACUGCCACCAAGCUCAUUCAAGUCCUUCAACUGUCGCAACUCAUAGCCUUGCUUCUUCUGUACAGAAAAGACAUAAAUGUGUUGUAGAGACGUUAACUUACCUAUAUUCAGAAUUUGGCAAAUAGGCUUUUCAAUCGCGAAAUCAUUCACGUACGCUCCUAGAUGCCGUAGCUUUCUUAAAUUGCAUAGUUUGUCAGGCAAAUUCUCCACCAUGUGGUUUAACCAAAGUAAUUGUAAGUGGUAGAGAGUACAUAAUGAUGUAGGCAAUUCAGAAACUAACGUCCUGACGAGGUUCAAAUACCGGAGGUGCUUCAGCUCACCAAUAGAUUCUGGCAACUUGCUGCUGCUGUAAAAUGACAGAGACAAUACACGCAGUUUUCUUUGGUUCCGUAGCAUGCCAUCAAAAAUAUCACUUGGACCAUCCAUUAGCGGAUCGAUGCAGAUAAUAGUGCGUAAAUGAUAUAGCUUGCAGAUAAUUUGCUUAUGCUUUUGCAUACUUUGAACAUGAACAGAUAGAUGUCGAACAGUGCAUGGUAUUUCUGUCACAUUAUCAUCUUCUAAUCUAAAGCAGUCUUCCCUAGAGAGUGACUCUGCAAAAUCAUGAAGGAUAUCAUGCAUGACAUAGUACGAAUCACAAUACAUUUGAGAAACCAAUUGGAAGAAAGAUACAGAGACCAUAUCAUUGAAGUAAUCCAUCCCAACCUCUUCUAACGUUCUCCUACUCAAAUUGCAUGAACCAACAAAUCCUUCUGCCACCCAAAGGUGAACCAACUCUUCAGGUCUAUAUCUGUGACCUUUUGGCAACAAGCUGCAAUACAAGAAGCACCUCUGCAGACGUGGAUCUAACUUCUCGUAACUCCACAACAGAGAUGUGAAGGGAUCACUUAAAUCUCCAAGCUUUAGAGCAGCUUUCCAUUCAGCAAUAUCCUUUUUCCUGCACAAUCGAGAACCCAGAACUUUUGCUGCCAAAGGACAUUGUCCAAGCCUUUUAGCAAUCUCCUCUGCAGUGUCUUCCAGCUUCGUGCGUAACAGUUGGUCUUUGAUUUCUGCUCCAGAGAAAGCAUGGUGUUUAAAAAGAGCCAAAAACUCAGUAUCAUCCAUGUUUUCCAAAUGAAUGACAUGUUCUUGUUCACAACAAAUAGCGGCCGGAAGUGUUCCACUUUGAGAAGUAACCAAAACUUUGCUCCCUGACUGUUUAGAGACUAAUGGAGCAAGGAAUAACUCCCACUCUGUCUCACUAUGAGAUUUUUCAAACCAAACAUCAUCCAAGACAAGCAGGAAUUUCUGUGACUCUUGUAGUAUAUCACGUAAUUUGCACUGGAGAGUAUCGAGAUUAUCAACACGUGGGCACUCUCCCUUUUUUGCAGACUCUAUAAUCUCCCUUGUGUGACGAUGCACAUCAAGUUUGCGCGAGAUACAGAUCCACAUCCUGACAUCAAAGCAUUCUUCAAUCCUCUUGUCAUUAUAGACAUAUUGUGCUAAGGUAGACUUCCCCAUUCCUCCCAAUCCAACAAUGGCCAAACCGGAGUACUUAGUUGAGCUUGCCUCAGCAGUUGUUGUCUUGCCGAGAAGAAAUUUUACUAUGCGAUCACGAUCCCUG